This 301-nucleotide ribosomal RNA is filed under the name uncultured bacterium. RNAcentral describes it as "partial 16S ribosomal RNA". It matches the Rfam family "Bacterial small subunit ribosomal RNA", at positions 509 to 807 of the family's 1533-position model. The record is from RNAcentral.
CAGUCGCCGCGGUAAUACAGAGGGUGCAAGCGUUAAUCGGAUUUGCUGGGCGUAAAGGGCGCGUGGGUGGUUAUGUAAGUGAGAUGUGAAAUCCCCGGGCUCAACCUGGGAACUGCAUCUUAUACUGCGUAGCUGGAGUGCAGUAGAGGGUAGUGGAAUUUCCGGUGUAGCGGUGAAAUGCGUAGAUAUCGGAAGGAACACCAGUGGCGAAGGCGGCUACCUGGACUGACACUGACACUGAGGCACGAAAGCGUGGGGAUCAAACAGGAUUAGAUACCCGCGUAGUCCCUGUCUCUUAUAC